GGUUAAGCGACUAAGCGUACACGGUGGAUGCCCUGGCAGUCAGAGGCGAUGAAGGACGUGCUAAUCUGCGAUAAGCGUCGGUAAGGUGAUAUGAACCGUUAUAACCGGCGAUUUCCGAAUGGGGAAACCCAGUGUGAUUCGUCACACUAUCAUUAACUGAAUCCAUAGGUUAAUGAGGCGAACCGGGGGAACUGAAACAUCUAAGUACCCCGAGGAAAAGAAAUCAACCGAGAUUCCCCCAGUAGCGGCGAGCGAACGGGGAGCAGCCCAGAGCCUGAAUCAGUGUGUGUGUUAGUGGAAGCGUCUGGAAAGGCGCGCGAUACAGGGUGACAGCCCCGUACACAAAAAUGCACAUACUGUGAGCUCGAUGAGUAGGGCGGGACACGUGGUAUCCUGUCUGAAUAUGGGGGGACCAUCCUCCAAGGCUAAAUACUCCUGACUGACCGAUAGUGAACCAGUACCGUGAGGGAAAGGCGAAAAGAACCCCGGCGAGGGGAGUGAAAAAGAACCUGAAACCGUGUACGUACAAGCAGUGGGAGCACGCUUAGGCGUGUGACUGCGUACCUUUUGUAUAAUGGGUCAGCGACUUAUAUUCUGUAGCAAGGUUAACCGAAUAGGGGAGCCGAAGGGAAACCGAGUCUUAACUGGGCGUUAAGUUGCAGGGUAUAGACCCGAAACCCGGUGAUCUAGCCAUGGGCAGGUUGAAGGUUGGGUAACACUAACUGGAGGACCGAACCGACUAAUGUUGAAAAAUUAGCGGAUGACUUGUGGCUGGGGGUGAAAGGCCAAUCAAACCGGGAGAUAGCUGGUUCUCCCCGAAAGCUAUUUAGGUAGCGCCUCGUGAAUUCAUCUCCGGGGGUAGAGCACUGUUUCGGCAAGGGGGUCAUCCCGACUUACCAACCCGAUGCAAACUGCGAAUACCGGAGAAUGUUAUCACGGGAGACACACGGCGGGUGCUAACGUCCGUCGUGAAGAGGGAAACAACCCAGACCGCCAGCUAAGGUCCCAAAGUCAUGGUUAAGUGGGAAACGAUGUGGGAAGGCCCAGACAGCCAGGAUGUUGGCUUAGAAGCAGCCAUCAUUUAAAGAAAGCGUAAUAGCUCACUGGUCGAGUCGGCCUGCGCGGAAGAUGUAACGGGGCUAAACCAUGCACCGAAGCUGCGGCAGCGACGCUUAUGCGUUGUUGGGUAGGGGAGCGUUCUGUAAGCCUGCGAAGGUGUGCUGUGAGGCAUGCUGGAGGUAUCAGAAGUGCGAAUGCUGACAUAAGUAACGAUAAAGCGGGUGAAAAGCCCGCUCGCCGGAAGACCAAGGGUUCCUGUCCAACGUUAAUCGGGGCAGGGUGAGUCGACCCCUAAGGCGAGGCCGAAAGGCGUAGUCGAUGGGAAACAGGUUAAUAUUCCUGUACUUGGUGUUACUGCGAAGGGGGGACGGAGAAGGCUAUGUUGGCCGGGCGACGGUUGUCCCGGUUUAAGCGUGUAGGCUGGUUUUCCAGGCAAAUCCGGAAAACUAAGGCUGAGGCGUGAUGACGAGGCACUACGGUGCUGAAGCAACAAAUGCCCUGCUUCCAGGAAAAGCCUCUAAGCAUCAGGUAACAUCAAAUCGUACCCCAAACCGACACAGGUGGUCAGGUAGAGAAUACCAAGGCGCUUGAGAGAACUCGGGUGAAGGAACUAGGCAAAAUGGUGCCGUAACUUCGGGAGAAGGCACGCUGAUAUGUAGGUGAAGUCCCUCGCGGAUGGAGCUGAAAUCAGUCGAAGAUACCAGCUGGCUGCAACUGUUUAUUAAAAACACAGCACUGUGCAAACACGAAAGUGGACGUAUACGGUGUGACGCCUGCCCGGUGCCGGAAGGUUAAUUGAUGGGGUUAGCGCAAGCGAAGCUCUUGAUCGAAGCCCCGGUAAACGGCGGCCGUAACUAUAACGGUCCUAAGGUAGCGAAAUUCCUUGUCGGGUAAGUUCCGACCUGCACGAAUGGCGUAAUGAUGGCCAGGCUGUCUCCACCCGAGACUCAGUGAAAUUGAACUCGCUGUGAAGAUGCAGUGUACCCGCGGCAAGACGGAAAGACCCCGUGAACCUUUACUAUAGCUUGACACUGAACAUUGAGCCUUGAUGUGUAGGAUAGGUGGGAGGCUUUGAAGUGUGGACGCCAGUCUGCAUGGAGCCGACCUUGAAAUACCACCCUUUAAUGUUUGAUGUUCUAACGUUGACCCGUAAUCCGGGUUGCGGACAGUGUCUGGUGGGUAGUUUGACUGGGGCGGUCUCCUCCUAAAGAGUAACGGAGGAGCACGAAGGUUGGCUAAUCCUGGUCGGACAUCAGGAGGUUAGUGCAAUGGCAUAAGCCAGCUUGACUGCGAGCGUGACGGCGCGAGCAGGUGCGAAAGCAGGUCAUAGUGAUCCGGUGGUUCUGAAUGGAAGGGCCAUCGCUCAACGGAUAAAAGGUACUCCGGGGAUAACAGGCUGAUACCGCCCAAGAGUUCAUAUCGACGGCGGUGUUUGGCACCUCGAUGUCGGCUCAUCACAUCCUGGGGCUGAAGUAGGUCCCAAGGGUAUGGCUGUUCGCCAUUUAAAGUGGUACGCGAGCUGGGUUUAGAACGUCGUGAGACAGUUCGGUCCCUAUCUGCCGUGGGCGCUGGAGAACUGAGGGGGGCUGCUCCUAGUACGAGAGGACCGGAGUGGACGCAUCACUGGUGUUCGGGUUGUCAUGCCAAUGGCACUGCCCGGUAGCUAAAUGCGGAAGAGAUAAGUGCUGAAAGCAUCUAAGCACGAAACUUGCCCCGAGAUGAGUUCUCCCUGACUCCUUGAGAGUCCUGAAGGAACGUUGAAGACGACGACGUUGAUAGGCCGGGUGUGUAAGCGCAGCGAUGCGUUGAGCUAACCGGUACUAAUGAACCGUGAGGCUUAACCUU
RNAcentral lists this ribosomal RNA (2904 nucleotides) under Escherichia coli. Its description in RNAcentral is "23S ribosomal RNA". It matches the Rfam family "Bacterial large subunit ribosomal RNA". The record is from RNAcentral. Lineage: Bacteria; Pseudomonadati; Pseudomonadota; Gammaproteobacteria; Enterobacterales; Enterobacteriaceae.